Molecule: non-coding RNA, 29 nt
Filed under: Homo sapiens (human)
Lineage: Eukaryota; Metazoa; Chordata; Mammalia; Primates; Hominidae
Source: RNAcentral
CGCUAGUUGUGUGUCACUGCGUGUGCCCA